Molecule: ribosomal RNA, 477 nt
Filed under: uncultured Actinomycetes bacterium
Lineage: Bacteria; Bacillati; Actinomycetota; Actinomycetes
Description: bacterial SSU rRNA
Rfam family: Bacterial small subunit ribosomal RNA
Source: RNAcentral
UGGGGAAUCUUGCGCAAUGCGCGAAAGCGUGACGCAGCAACGCCGCGUGAGGGAAGAAGGCCUUAGGGUUGUAAACCUCUUUCAGGAGGGACGAAGGUCGGCACGUUAAUAGCGUGUCCGAUUGACGGUACCUCCACAAGAAGCCCCGGCUAACUACGUGCCAGCAGCCGCGGUAAUACGUAGGGGGCAAGCGUUGUCCGGAAUUAUUGGGCGUAAAGAGCGUGUAGGCGGUCCGGUAAGUCAGCUGUGAAAGUCAAGGGCUCAACCCUUGAAAGCCGGUUGAUACUGUCGGGCUAGAGUCCGGAAGAGGCGAGUGGAAUUCCCGGUGUAGCGGUGAAAUGCGCAGAUAUCGGGAGGAACACCAAUGGCGAAGGCAGCUCGCUGGGACGGUACUGACGCUGAGACGCGAAAGCGUGGGGAGCAAACAGGAUUAGAUACCCUGGUAGUCCACGCCGUAAACGAUGGGCACUAGGUGUU